This 253-nucleotide ribosomal RNA is filed under the name uncultured bacterium. RNAcentral describes it as "partial 16S ribosomal RNA". It matches the Rfam family "Bacterial small subunit ribosomal RNA", at positions 524 to 776 of the family's 1533-position model. The record is from RNAcentral.
UACGGAGGGGGCAAGCGUUAUUCGGAAUCAUUGGGCGUAAAGAGCGCGUAGGCGGCCGUGCAAGUCGGUUGUGAAAUCCCGGGGCUCAACCCCGGGACUGCGUCCGAUACUGCACGGCUCGAGGCAGGUAGGGGAGAGUGGAAUUCCCGGUGUAGCGGUGAAAUGCGCAGAUAUCGGGAGGAACACCGGUGGCGAAGGCGGCUCUCUGGACCUGGCCUGACGCUGAGGCGCGAAAGCUAGGGGAGCGAACAGG